Manihot esculenta (cassava) is the source of this 414-nucleotide long non-coding RNA. RefSeq lists it as uncharacterized. NCBI's taxonomy places the organism in Eukaryota, Viridiplantae, Streptophyta, Magnoliopsida, Malpighiales, Euphorbiaceae. The transcript is spliced from 3 exons. The record is from RefSeq and is a predicted model, not a curated record.
GUGCUUUGUUCGUUCAUGAAAAACCGGGUUGGCCGCGAUAUGCUGAGCCGCUUGGUUGUCGCAGUGAAGCGGUAUAGGAAGUUGUGGAUCGGCGUGAAACUCUUUCAUCAGGAUAUUAAGGAUGGUCCGAGGAAUAUGCAGAACCCGGUGAGAGAUUUCCGGGUCAUCGGACAAGAAGCCCAGUCAGCAUCGGAGAAAGCUCGGAGCUUGAGAUCGUUCUGAGCUGGGAAAAAUAACCCUCUUGUUGGACAACUCUUCAGAUAGCGAAGCACGUGAAGUGCGGCGUUCCAGUGCGGUUGACGCGACUGUUGCAUGAACUGGCUGAGGUGCUGCGUCGCGUAGGAGAUGUCUGGCCUGGUAACUCCGAGAAAUAAUCCAGUCUCAGAACGUGCGAUCUGUAAUCCCAGAAAGUAU